Long non-coding RNA from Anolis carolinensis (green anole), 3866 nucleotides. RefSeq lists it as uncharacterized. The transcript is spliced from 3 exons. The record is from RefSeq and is a predicted model, not a curated record. NCBI's taxonomy places the organism in Eukaryota, Metazoa, Chordata, Lepidosauria, Squamata, Anolidae.
UAUGCCACCAUGGCAGCAACACGGGUUGCUUCCUGUGUUGCAUUAGGAUCAAUGGGGGAAAGUUGGGAUGGGGUAAGGGGAAAGCCAGGUGGAGUGGAGAAUGGGGCUACGGGUUUCCCAUGGCCCAUGCUGGGCACCUCCAGAUUCAUCACAAUCCAUGGUGAUCCCAGCAGCAAAUGUGAUGAGUUCUUAGGGUGACCCAUUAUUUUCAUCUGGUUUUCAUAGGCAAAAAAUACUCAGAGGUUAUUUUGCCAGUUCCUGCCUCUGAAAAAUAACUUUAGCCUUUUGUUAUCAGGAAUGCCUUAAGACCUUGUUUCAGAGAAUUUGGAGAUGUGAAGUUAGGUUUUCUGUGUCUGAAAGUUUGAAGGAAACCUAUAUAAAAUGUACUAUCUGUAAAGAAGAUAUCUUCCUUCACUAGUACUGUUAUGUUGUAGGGUCUGACAAGGGAAAACCAGAACAUAUUCCUUAUUUCUAUGCACUGUUGUCUUGUUUUUCAGUGAAAAGGGGGGGGGCAUUUUGCCCUUCAUUUUCUUUUUUAUGUUUAAUUCCAAGACAAAGCAGAGCAAUAUGAGCCUCCUUCUUCUCUUCUCCCUCCUUUUUAAAAGUUAUUGUGCUACAGUGCAUAAAUGGAGUUGAAUUUUUGCACUUUAUGGCUUUUUAAAAAAUGAAAGAUGUGGAAAUUUGCUCUUCAAAUUGCACUGGCCAACAUACAUUUUGGUGCCUCAAAUGCUAAACCUGUUUCUGGAUAUAUUUGACCUGCUGAUUCCAAAAACCAAAACACAAAGAUAUAUUUUUUUUGCAGGGCUGUGUUAUAGGACAACCACAGCAAACCAUGUCCCCUUAAAAAAAAAAACAUGCAAAGAACCUUACUGCAAAUAUACUUCCCCAAAAUAGAAUGAGUGGACAUAACACUGAAAACAACCCAGAAAAGUGGUUAAAAUUGCAAACCAAACCACUAUAUUUGAAGACCUUGUGGUUCUUUAGAUCAAUCUGGAAAAGGUCCUAAUUUUAGAUACUGCAUUUGACUUUUAUAAGGCUUUGAUCUGAAUAUUAGAAUCACUCUAAAACACCAUUGCCAAAAUGAAGUACAGAACUAACCAACAUUUUUCCUGGCUGACCCUCAGUCUUCUGAAAUCUAUAAUGUUAUCAUUAAAAUGUCCUGUGGAAACUGUUGAAGUGGGAAUGAUUGUACAUAGGUUUGUUUAAAUGUAAUUGAGUUAUAGUGAUGCAAUGUGAGCUGGGGAUUGCAUCAUGCACUGUCUGCUGUCCACUAUGCAAGUGUGUAAAGAGUUAACUGAGUGUUGCAUCAUACAGCAGAGGUGUUUAUAUAUAGCCUUCUGUUUCCUGUAUUCUCUCUCUGGUUAUCUGCUCUCUGCACUCUGUCUGUAUGUGUAUCGUCUUGUGAGAGUUUUCCGUUCACCAGUAGACCUGUUUAUAGAUAGUUGAAGUCUCCAGCCUCGUUACUGGUACCAGUGCUUCUACCUCUCUUUCACCAUCAUCCCAGUGCCAUGCAUCUUAAAAAUGUUCCAGCUAGACAGAGGAAAAGGAUGAAAAUGGGGACUGGACAAUUAAAUGUAAAAAGGAUGGAUGGAUACAGAUCGCUUUCCUGCUGUCAUGUUCAUGAAGCAAACAGGUCCAUGUGUUCCAAUGAUCGCAUCCAAUUUACUCCUUUUUCUGUGGAUGGCUGUUCCUGACUCCGAAGCUUCACCUUCUUGUCUCUCAAGUCUCACUGGGGUUACUUUAUGAGGCCCAUAAUUCAAGCAGAUCCAUUAUCUUGGCACUUAUCCCACCCACGAAGCAAAUGUAAUUAUGAUCCAAUUAAUUGGGUUUUCUGUUGAUUCUCGGUUUGUGGCUUUAUUAUCAGCCUAUUGUUAUAUAAAAAUAAUGCUGACAGGCCCUUUGGGCAUAAUUUUAUAUUGGCAUUGCAUGUUUAUGAGAUAAUUAUGUUUUAUAGAUAGUCUUGAGGGUUGAAUCCCUUCUGAGCAACACUUACUUAAAAGAUACUCAGAAGCUGAAAUGCACGUAAAUAGUGAGGCUUUCCUGGACUGUUUAUUGAACAAAAUCUAUGGAUAGAUAUUUAAUAGCUUUAUUAGCAAUAACCAUGAUGGUAAAUAACCAUGACUGAUUUUCUUAUAGCUCAUCACACUUUUUGUAUUUGUUUUUUAUUUGCAUGGCAAAGCAGUAGACACUCCGUUAACCGGCACUCAUGGGGAUUGGUAGCUGUCGAAUAAAUGUAGUAUCUGGUUGCUUGAGAGUGAAUAUUAAAAAUAGACCUACACCCCAUACCAUGUUAUAAAUUCUGUCUUGACUUGAUAUUAAUAUCGAAAAACAGUAACUAAAAGCAAAUUAAGACAAAUAAAGGUAAACUGAACUUAAUGAAACAUUUUUUUUGUAUUAUAAAACCAGCUUUGUAGUAUACACUUUUCGUUAAACAAAAUGCCGGUUGCUUGAUCAUUCUAGUUACUUGAGUUCUGGUUAACUGAGAGUCUGCUGUAUAUACAUUAAAAUGUCAUUCGGUGUAAAAAUUAGGUAAACCAAUGAAACACAAAAUAAAACUUGUUUAAUGCCAAUUGCUAAGAUAUUGCUAAUUCUUUAUGUAUUAUGGCAGUGAAACCACACAUUUGUGCAUAUUAAAGAAAAACAAAUGAAAGAUUGUUGUUAUGGUUGAGCCUUCGGGCUCCGGUAAUAGAAGAAGGGGUCAUAAGACUCCUCGAGAGUCAGACUCCUUCGAGGAGCGUGAAAGAAAGCGGCUCCGGGAUUUGUUUGCAGACCCGACAGAUGAGGACUCAUUUGAGGGUUUUUCUGAGGGUUUGGAGGAAGAGAUGGCCAGCUCGGAGGAGGAUGACAUGGAAUGGACUCGUGUGAGGGAGGAUUUGGGUGUUGGGGAAACAGGCAAUGAAAGCAUGGGAGGUGAUUGGCGGGUUGCAGUAUCAGACCCAUGGACUGGCUGGAGGGAUGGAGCGGGAUCCACAGCUGGGGAUGCUGUGGGGCGUAGUCAAAGGUGCUUAAGCUCUGAUGAGGAUGAUGAUGUUGGGGCGCCUGGAAUUGGGAUGGCAGCUGACAGCGAUGAUGAGCUUGAACUGGGAUAAAAUGGGGUUUGGGACCAAUGUCUAAUUGCGUUGGGCAAGGUAAUCUGGACGGACGCUUGGGCUUUUGUUGGGGAACUUCCUGAAGACGGGUGUGAUUCGUUACUGGAUACGUAAGUUUACCAAGGACACUGGGCAUCGACGGCAGGAGGAACUGUGCGGGGUUUUUCUCUGUGCAACUUGUGUUUAAUCUCGAUAGCUUGGACCUCCGUCGUCUUUUUGACGGGCAAUAUCUACUCGCAUUGGAUUGACGCUGGACUGACUGACUUCGAUUCCGGAUUAUCCCUUCUGCUGGCUAUCGGUGAGACCUUUGGAUUCCUAGACGACUACGCUUGGCUAAAGACCUCUGGACCGGAUUGGGACCCUGCUGACUGCCGUUACCCUGACUGCUGUGCCUGGACCUGGAUAUCGUUGGCCGCUGAACCUUAAGCUGAAUCCUGACUACGACCAUGCUUUUCGUUCGCUGCAGGAAGGAAUAAACAAGCCUGGUUUAUCCCCCUGCUGUUUCUGAGUAGCAGAGAGGAAUCUGCCACCAGUCUGUUGUUUACAUUCUGACUCCUGCUGAUUCUCUUUGUUUGCAUUGUUUGCCAGGCUGAAGUAAGCACUUUUGAUUUAAUCCGGAUUAUACUUCUGUUUAACCCGGUUUAUCCCUUUGAACCGUUUAAGCUCAAACUGAGCUGUUUUUUGUUAUUUAUCACACUGAAGUCAAGUGUUUGCCCUGUUCUUUGUUUCCUACGGGCGUUUUAGUUCUGUAACCUCAAUAAACUGAGUUUUGUUUUA